UUAAGUCUGUAGAAUAAGGACAAGUGGUCAGCCUCAGGCUUAGCUUCGGGGUAAGGGUAUGCCCCGGGCUUAGGGUAAGGAUCUGCAACGAGGUAAAGCUAUACCUCUGCGUCAGGGUAUGCCACGGGGUAAAAGGUCGGCCACAGGCUAAGGGUAAGACAGUACGAUCGUAGCUAAACCAAAGAGCAUCGUCUGAACAAAUGACAAGAGAGGGAUAUCUAGUUCACAAGCUGGCAAUAGAUAUCCCAGAUAAAUUGUCUAAUAAUUCACACUUUCCAUAAAUUCUAAACUUUCGCACUUACAUAUUCCCCAUAUUCGAUGUAAAAUCCGACACCCUCGUUUUCCACGAGGAAAAUUCACAUAUUUACCUUUGGCAAAAUACCACUAACAGCAUGUAUAACGCUCCGCUAUUACUAUGCUUGGUGGUGAGGAUAUUAGCCCGAGGGAGAGCCCUCCCUCACCCCGGGUAGGGGGAGUCUUGCAGCGAAUAUAAGAAGGUCCAGAGCCAGUUUGCUUCAGAUCGCACCUCACCUGCCCGCGACAACAUUCUGCCUGCGCCACCAUGAAGCUGACUGUCCUCUUUGGCGUGGUUAUGGCCCUGUAUGGCCUUGGUUCGGCUCGUGCCAUGCCCAACCCUAUGGCCGACCCCUUAUCCCGUGGCAGACCCUUAUCCCGUGGCAGACCCUUAUCCCGUGGCAGACCCUUAUCCCGUGGCAGACCCUUAUCCCGUGGCAGACCCUAUUGAGCCUAAGAAUCUACAUUCGAAAGAUUGUAUUUGUAUUUUAGUUUGUAUAGGAUGUUAAAAUGGUAAUUUGUCAAUGCUAUAGUUAAAAAACGACUUAAGUCUAUGACUUAUACAAAUUAAAUCAAAUAGUGGACAGGAGAUACAUGUAAAGACAAAACAGAUAUCCAUAUAUGGAACAUCAGCAAGAGCAAUAAAGUAUAAAUCAACCUUGGAAAUCUAUACAAACUUGGAAAUUCUCGUUGCAAAUGAUACGAAAAGGAAGCAGAAAUACUCACUGAAUUAAACUGCAACAAUAAACCUAUUUGGGAAAAA
Penaeus indicus is the source of this 1057-nucleotide long non-coding RNA. RefSeq lists it as uncharacterized. The transcript has 2 exons. The record is from RefSeq and is a predicted model, not a curated record. Lineage: Eukaryota; Metazoa; Arthropoda; Malacostraca; Decapoda; Penaeidae.